UUAGGAAAUUUUCCCAAUGGGCGCAAGCCUGAGGGAGUAACGCCGCGUGGAGGAUGACGGCCUUCGGGUUGUAAACUCCUUUUCUGGGGGACGAGUAGUAGACGGUACCCCAGGAAGAAGCCUCGGCUAACUACGUGCCAGCAGCCGCGGUAAUACGUAGGAGGCGAGCGUUGUCCGGAAUUACUGGGCGUAAAGAGCGCGUAGGUGGCGCGAUACGACCGGUGUGAAAUCCUCCGGCUCAACUGGGAGGGGGUCACUGGUAACGGUCGUGCUGUGAGUGCAGGAGAGGGACGUGGAACUCCGGGAGUAGCGGUGAAAUGCGUAGAGACCCGGAGGAACACCAGUGGCGAAGGCGGCGUCCUGGCCUGCGACUGACGCUGUGGCGCGAAAGCUAGGGGAGCGAACGGGAUUAGAUACCCCGGUAGUCCUAGCCGUAAACGAUGGACACUAGGUGUGCGUGGUAUCGACCCCACGCGUGCCGGCGCUAACGCAGUAAGUGUCCCGCCUGGGGAGUACGGCCGCAAGGCU
RNAcentral lists this ribosomal RNA (528 nucleotides) under uncultured bacterium. RNAcentral's name for it is "bacterial SSU rRNA". It matches the Rfam family "Bacterial small subunit ribosomal RNA", at positions 355 to 895 of the family's 1533-position model. The record is from RNAcentral.